UUAAGUUAUUAAGGGCGCACGGUGGAUGCCUUGGCACUAGAAGCCGAUGAAGGACGUUACUAACGACGAUAUGCUUUGGGGAGCUGUAAGUAAGCUUUGAUCCAGAGAUUUCCGAAUGGGGAAACCCAACAUGAGUUAUGUCAUGUUAUCGAUAUGUGAAUACAUAGCAUAUCAGAAGGCACACCCGGAGAACUGAAACAUCUUAGUACCCGGAGGAAGAGAAAGAAAAUUCGAUUCCCUUAGUAGCGGCGAGCGAAACGGGAAGAGCCCAAACCAACAAGCUUGCUUGUUGGGGUUGUAGGACACUCUAUACGGAGUUACAAAGGACGACAUUAGAUGAAUCAUCUGGAAAGAUGAAUCAAAGAAGGUAAUAAUCCUGUAGUCGAAAAUGUUGUCUCUCUUGAGUGGAUCCUGAGUACGACGGAGCACGUGAAAUUCCGUCGGAAUCUGGGAGGACCAUCUCCUAAGGCUAAAUACUCUCUAGUGACCGAUAGUGAACCAGUACCGUGAGGGAAAGGUGAAAAGCACCCCGGAAGGGGAGUGAAAUAGAACCUGAAACCGUGUGCUUACAAGUAGUCAGAGCCCGUUAAUGGGUGAUGGCGUGCCUUUUGUAGAAUGAACCGGCGAGUUACGAUUUGAUGCAAGGUUAAGCAGUAAAUGUGGAGCCGUAGCGAAAGCGAGUCUGAAUAGGGCGUUUAGUAUUUGGUCGUAGACCCGAAACCAGGUGAUCUACCCUUGGUCAGGUUGAAGUUCAGGUAACACUGAAUGGAGGACCGAACCGACUUACGUUGAAAAGUGAGCGGAUGAACUGAGGGUAGCGGAGAAAUUCCAAUCGAACCUGGAGAUAGCUGGUUCUCUCCGAAAUAGCUUUAGGGCUAGCCUCAAGUGAUGAUUAUUGGAGGUAGAGCACUGUUUGGACGAGGGGCCCCUCUCGGGUUACCGAAUUCAGACAAACUCCGAAUGCCAAUUAAUUUAACUUGGGAGUCAGAACAUGGGUGAUAAGGUCCGUGUUCGAAAGGGAAACAGCCCAGACCACCAGCUAAGGUCCCAAAAUAUAUGUUAAGUGGAAAAGGAUGUGGCGUUGCCCAGACAACUAGGAUGUUGGCUUAGAAGCAGCCAUCAUUUAAAGAGUGCGUAAUAGCUCACUAGUCGAGUGACACUGCGCCGAAAAUGUACCGGGGCUAAACAUAUUACCGAAGCUGUGGAUUGUCCUUUGGACAAUGGUAGGAGAGCGUUCUAAGGGCGUUGAAGCAUGAUCGUAAGGACAUGUGGAGCGCUUAGAAGUGAGAAUGCCGGUGUGAGUAGCGAAAGACGGGUGAGAAUCCCGUCCACCGAUUGACUAAGGUUUCCAGAGGAAGGCUCGUCCGCUCUGGGUUAGUCGGGUCCUAAGCUGAGGCCGACAGGCGUAGGCGAUGGAUAACAGGUUGAUAUUCCUGUACCACCUAUAAUCGUUUUAAUCGAUGGGGGGACGCAGUAGGAUAGGCGAAGCGUGCGAUUGGAUUGCACGUCUAAGCAGUAAGGCUGAGUAUUAGGCAAAUCCGGUACUCGUUAAGGCUGAGCUGUGAUGGGGAGAAGACAUUGUGUCUUCGAGUCGUUGAUUUCACACUGCCGAGAAAAGCCUCUAGAUAGAAAAUAGGUGCCCGUACCGCAAACCGACACAGGUAGUCAAGAUGAGAAUUCUAAGGUGAGCGAGCGAACUCUCGUUAAGGAACUCGGCAAAAUGACCCCGUAACUUCGGGAGAAGGGGUGCUCUUUAGGGUUAACGCCCAGAAGAGCCGCAGUGAAUAGGCCCAAGCGACUGUUUAUCAAAAACACAGGUCUCUGCUAAACCGUAAGGUGAUGUAUAGGGGCUGACGCCUGCCCGGUGCUGGAAGGUUAAGAGGAGUGGUUAGCUUCUGCGAAGCUACGAAUCGAAGCCCCAGUAAACGGCGGCCGUAACUAUAACGGUCCUAAGGUAGCGAAAUUCCUUGUCGGGUAAGUUCCGACCCGCACGAAAGGCGUAACGAUUUGGGCACUGUCUCAACGAGAGACUCGGUGAAAUCAUAGUACCUGUGAAGAUGCAGGUUACCCGCGACAGGACGGAAAGACCCCGUGGAGCUUUACUGUAGCCUGAUAUUGAAAUUCGGCACAGCUUGUACAGGAUAGGUAGGAGCCUUUGAAACGUGAGCGCUAGCUUACGUGGAGGCGCUGGUGGGAUACUACCCUAGCUGUGUUGGCUUUCUAACCCGCACCACUUAUCGUGGUGGGAGACAGUGUCAGGCGGGCAGUUUGACUGGGGCGGUCGCCUCCUAAAAGGUAACGGAGGCGCUCAAAGGUUCCCUCAGAAUGGUUGGAAAUCAUUCAUAGAGUGUAAAGGCAUAAGGGAGCUUGACUGCGAGACCUACAAGUCGAGCAGGGUCGAAAGACGGACUUAGUGAUCCGGUGGUUCCGCAUGGAAGGGCCAUCGCUCAACGGAUAAAAGCUACCCCGGGGAUAACAGGCUUAUCUCCCCCAAGAGUUCACAUCGACGGGGAGGUUUGGCACCUCGAUGUCGGCUCAUCGCAUCCUGGGGCUGUAGUCGGUCCCAAGGGUUGGGCUGUUCGCCCAUUAAAGCGGUACGCGAGCUGGGUUCAGAACGUCGUGAGACAGUUCGGUCCCUAUCCGUCGUGGGCGUAGGAAAUUUGAGAGGAGCUGUCCUUAGUACGAGAGGACCGGGAUGGACAUACCUCUGGUGUACCAGUUGUCGUGCCAACGGCAUAGCUGGGUAGCUAUGUGUGGACGGGAUAAGUGCUGAAAGCAUCUAAGCAUGAAGCCCCCCUCAAGAUGAGAUUUCCCAACUUCGGUUAUAAGAUCCCUCAAAGAUGAUGAGGUUAAUAGGUUCGAGGUGGAAGCAUGGUGACAUGUGGAGCUGAUGAAUACUAAUCGAUCGAAGACUUAAUCAA
This 2921-nucleotide ribosomal RNA is filed under the name Staphylococcus aureus. RNAcentral describes it as "23S ribosomal RNA". It matches the Rfam family "Bacterial large subunit ribosomal RNA". Lineage: Bacteria; Bacillati; Bacillota; Bacilli; Caryophanales; Staphylococcaceae. The record is from RNAcentral.